UUAAAAAUAGUAAUUCAAGAGGAAGUUUUUCUUUAAAACACUUCUAAACUAAAGUUUUAUUGGCUGAGACUAUUUAUUGGUCUAAGCCCCUUAGUAAAACAUUUACCGGCCCUUUUUAAGUCUCUGUUUUAUAGAUUGGCUAAGGGAAGCUAUCAAAAUCAAGCUGUAGGAGCAUUUUAUUUGAGGGUUAUCAAGAUCAAGAUUGAUGUCAAGAACUUGGUGAUCUCUUCAGUUGUUGUUUCAAGAGCUUAAAGAAAAACGCAAGUAGGAGUACUUGUGGUUGCAGUGGAUCAAGGAAAGAAGUAGUCCAUGGACCCAGAGCUGUCACGUCGUGGUGGUACUAAGUUUUCUACUCAAGGUAGCAAUAGAAUGUUAGUAGUCUAAGUCUUAUUAUACAAACUUCAAUUCUUUCAUAGUGGAUUUAUUUUACCUUGAGUAUAGCUAGCUAAGUUCAAUCCUCCCCAGAUUUUUUACCGGUUUGGUUUUCCUGGAUUAUCAUAUUGUUGUGUUAUUUACUUUUCCAUAUAAUUUACAUGAUAUGAUUUGAAUGUGUUAACCUAGAUUUGAAUUAAUUAUCUAAGUAAUCACUUGGCUAAAUAAACAGGUUAAACUUCUUGUAUUUUAAGGUGUCUAAAAACGUAUAAUAAUAGUAAUGAUAAUAUCUUAAUUUUGAAGGAAAAAUCAUAAUUAAAAAAAAAAAAAAAAAAAAAAAAAAACUCAAUCUCAUUCCCAAGAAGAUCAACAAUAGCAAUACCACCAACAAAACCCACAAUCUCAUUCUUAAUCCCCCCAAUCUCUAAUUAUGUGCUUGUUGAAGGCUUCUUUUUCUUCUUGUUUCUCACAUUCUUUGUGUGUUCUUCCAAUGUUCUUUUUGCGUUUUCAUAGAUUUAUGGUGGUGUUUACCUUCAUAUACACUUAGGGUUAUCAAGAUCAAGAUUAAUGUCAAGAACUUGGUGAUCUCUUCAGUUGUUGUUUCAAGAGCUUAAAGAAAAAUACAAGUAGGAGUACUUGUGGUUGCAGUGGAUCAAGAAAAGAAGUAAUUCGUGGACUUGGAGCUAUCACGUGGUCGUGGUAGUAAGUUUUCUACUCAAGGUAGCAAUAGAAUGUUAGUGGUCUAAGUCUUAUUAUACAAAUUUCAAUUCUUUUAUAGUAGAUCUGUUUUACCUUAAGGAUAGCUAGGUUCAAUCCUCCCCAGAUUUUUUAUUGGUUUGGUUUUCCUGGGUUAUCAUAUCGUUGUAUUAUUUACUUUUCCGCAUUAUUUACAUGAUAUGAUUUGAAUGUGUUAACUUAGAUUUGAAUAAUUUAUCUAAGUAAUCGCUUGACUAAAUAACUAGGUUAAACUUCUUGUGUUUUAAGGGGUCUAAAAUGUACAAUAAUAAUGAUAAUAUCUUACUUUUGAAGGAAAAAUCAUAAUUAUUAAAAAAAAAACCUCAAUCUCAGUCCCAAGAAGAUCAACAAUAGCAAUACCACCAACAAAACCCACAAUCUCAUUCUUAAUCCCCCCAAUCUCUAGUUAUGUGCUUGUUAAAGAUUUCUCUUUCUUCUUGUUUUUCGCGUUCUUUGUGUGUUCUUCCAAUGUUAUUAUUUUUUUUUUCAAAGAUUUAUGGUGAACGUUCUUUGGGGUUUUAAAGCUUGAAUCCGAUGAAUUUUUGAUGGAUCAAAGUCUUGGAAGUUUCUAGAGGUUUUGAAGCUUGAUUUGAAUAAAAGUUUGAAACUUGGAAUGAUGAUUUGGAUGAAUGUUCAUCAUAUUUAGAUUUGUGGUGGAAGUAUUUCGGGACUUUAGAGGCUUGAAUCUGUAAAGUUUCACUAUUUUGUAGUAUCUUGGAGUUUCCAAAGGCUUUGAGCUUGAUUCAAGUGAACUUUGAGAUCUUAAAAAAUUAUUUGAAUGAUUUCUCUUUAAAUGCUCUUCGUAUACAAAUGUUGAAGUUCUUAGAGAUUUUGGAGUUUGAUUCCAGCAAAGUUUUGAGACUUCUAAAUAUGUUUCCACGUGACUUAAGAAAACCUCAAUUUAUAGGAGUCUUGGGGUGGUGUGAUGACACAUGAUUAACUCUAACUGUUGACACAUAUCAUAAUUUAAAUAGAUGGACUUUUAUGUCUUGUUCUCCAAGGAACAUAUGACAUUAUUUGAUUAGCAAAAGUGUCUUUAUUUAAAAUAACACAUGACAAUAUUUAAUUAAACUAUUCAUAUCAUUUUCCAUUAAAUAUCAACACAUGUUGAAGUGUGAUUGGCUUUUAAAUAUUGUUUAUAAUUUCUAUUAAAUGACACUUGGACUAUUUCCAUUGGUCUUUGAAUGGUGACAAUAAAACCCACUAAGUCCAUGUGGCAUCUUGUAAUUGGCCGCUUUGAAUGUAUUAUGUGGACUUGAUGGUAAAACAUUGUAAUUUGUGAUUGGUAAAAAAAAUUUCCCUUCUACAAAGUAAUUCCUUAUUUUUCUAGGCUGAUAAUGCAAAUUUUGACAUUUUAGUAUUCAUAUUGGUAUUUUGACACUAAUAUCGAAGUUAGACAAAAUAUGUUAUCGAAAUUUGAUAUUAAUAUAAGCAAACAUAUCAAGAAGACAGAUUUUCAUACAAUCAUACAGGGUUUCCCAAUAUUUUUCUAGAAGUACUGUUCAAACCACCUUAAUUGCAUGUCGGAAAAAUAUGGUUUGUAUCGCAUACAAAACAUACGCAACAGAAACUCAAUGGAUCUACUUCCUUUGCAAUUGAUAACAUGUACUAUGUAAAUUUCAGAAUUUAAGAAUAAAAGAGCAUACCCUGGUACAGUGAAAUUCAAAAACAAAGAUUAAAAGUACUUGGGAACAUUUUUAAUCUUCACUCCAAUCCUACUUAUGCCCAAGAAGUGUGAUCUCUCAAUCAGUUUAUAUGUAUGUGUUUAGGGGAGAAUAAGAGAGUGGCUUACACUCACAUACACACCAUUUCAUUCUAAUAAUAAAAUUCUGUAUGUUUCACUUUUUAUAUAUAACUGAUUAUCUAAUUGGGCUAGCUUUUUGAGCCAUUCCAA
This is a long non-coding RNA of Quercus robur (English oak), 3001 nucleotides long. RefSeq lists it as uncharacterized. The transcript has 2 exons. The record is from RefSeq and is a predicted model, not a curated record. Lineage: Eukaryota; Viridiplantae; Streptophyta; Magnoliopsida; Fagales; Fagaceae.